RNAcentral lists this ribosomal RNA (207 nucleotides) under uncultured bacterium. RNAcentral's name for it is "partial 16S ribosomal RNA". It matches the Rfam family "Bacterial small subunit ribosomal RNA", at positions 568 to 774 of the family's 1533-position model. The record is from RNAcentral.
UCUGUAGGCGGUUUGGUAAGUUAGAUGUGAAAUCCCGGGGCUCAACCCCGGAACUGCAUCCGAUACUGCCAAACUAGAGGGUCGGAGGGGAGUCUGGAAUUCUCGGUGUAGCAGUGAAAUGCGUAGAUAUCGAGAGGAACACUAGUGGCGAAGGCGAGACUCUGGACGACACCUGACGCUGAGAGACGAAGGCCAGGGUAGCGAAAA